RNAcentral lists this ribosomal RNA (468 nucleotides) under uncultured bacterium. Its description in RNAcentral is "partial 16S ribosomal RNA". It matches the Rfam family "Bacterial small subunit ribosomal RNA", at positions 28 to 507 of the family's 1533-position model. The record is from RNAcentral.
GACGAACGCUGGCGGCGUGCUUAACACAUGCAAGUCGAACGGAAAGGCCCUGCUUUUGUGGGGUGCUCGAGUGGCGAACGGGUGAGUAACACGUGAGUAACCUGCCCUUGACUUUGGGAUAACUUCAGGAAACUGGGGCUAAUACCGGAUAGGAGCUCCUGCUGCAUGGUGGGGGUUGGAAAGUUUCGGCGGUUGGGGAUGGACUCGCGGCUUAUCAGCUUGUUGGUGGGGUAGUGGCUUACCAAGGCUUUGACGGGUAGCCGGCCGGAGAGGGUGACCGGCCACAUUGGGACUGAGAUACGGCCCAGACUCCUAAGGGAGGCAGCAGUGGGGAAUAUUGCACAAUGGGCGGAAGCCUGAUGCAGCAACGCCGCGUGCGGGAUGACGGCCUUCGGGUUGUAAACCGCUUUCGCCUGUGACGAAGCGUGAGUGACGGUAAUGGGUAAAGAAGCACCGGCUAACUACGUG